Molecule: ribosomal RNA, 598 nt
Filed under: Trichoderma atroviride
Lineage: Eukaryota; Fungi; Ascomycota; Sordariomycetes; Hypocreales; Hypocreaceae
Description: eukaryotic LSU rRNA
Rfam family: 5.8S ribosomal RNA (bases 218-371)
Source: RNAcentral
GAGUCUCGUUGGUGACCAGCGGAGGGUCAUUACCGAGUUUACAACUCCCAAACCCAAUGUGAACCAUACCAAACUGUUGCCUCGGCGGGGUCACGCCCCGGGUGCGUCGCAGCCCCGGAACCAGGCGCCCGCCGGAGGGACCAACCAAACUCUUUUCUGUAGUCCCCUCGCGGACGUUAUUUCUUACAGCUCUGAGCAAAAAUUCAAAAUGAAUCAAAACUUUCAACAACGGAUCUCUUGGUUCUGGCAUCGAUGAAGAACGCAGCGAAAUGCGAUAAGUAAUGUGAAUUGCAGAAUUCAGUGAAUCAUCGAAUCUUUGAACGCACAUUGCGCCCGCCAGUAUUCUGGCGGGCAUGCCUGUCCGAGCGUCAUUUCAACCCUCGAACCCCUCCGGGGGGUCGGCGUUGGGGACCUCGGGAGCCCCUAAGACGGGAUCCCGGCCCCGAAAUACAGUGGCGGUCUCGCCGCAGCCUCUCCUGCGCAGUAGUUUGCACAACUCGCACCGGGAGCGCGGCGCGUCCACGUCCGUAAAACACCCAACUUCUGAAAUGUUGACCUCGGAUCAGGUAGGAAUACCCGCUGAACUUAAGCAUACUAA